Molecule: ribosomal RNA, 640 nt
Filed under: Geosmithia pallida
Lineage: Eukaryota; Fungi; Ascomycota; Sordariomycetes; Hypocreales; Bionectriaceae
Description: eukaryotic LSU rRNA
Rfam family: Eukaryotic large subunit ribosomal RNA
Source: RNAcentral
ACCUCGGAUCAGGUAGGAAUACCCGCUGAACUUAAGCAUAUCAAUAAGCGGAGGAAAAGAAACCAACAGGGAUUGCCUCAGUAACGGCGAGUGAAGCGGCAACAGCUCAAAUUUGAAAUCUGGCCCCCAGGCCCGAGUUGUAAUUUGUAGAGGAUGCUUCUGGCGACGCGACUUCCGAGUUCCCUGGAACGGGACGCCAAAGAGGGUGAGAGCCCCGUCCGGUCGUUCGCCUAGCCUCUGUGAAGCUCCUUCGACGAGUCGAGUAGUUUGGGAAUGCUGCUCUAAAUGGGAGGUAUACGUCUUCUAAAGCUAAAUACCGGCCAGAGACCGAUAGCGCACAAGUAGAGUGAUCGAAAGAUGAAAAGCACUUUGAAAAGAGGGUUAAAUAGUACGUGAAAUUGCUGAAAGGGAAGCGCUUAUGACCAGACUUGGGCCAGGUGAAUCAUCCGGCGUUCUCGCCGGUGCACUUUGCCUGCCCAGGCCAGCAUCAGUUCGCUUCGGGGGAUAAAGGCUUCGGGAAUGUAGCUCCUCCGGGAGUGUUAUAGACCGUUGCGUAAUACCCUGGGGCGGACUGAGGUACGCGUUCUGCAAGGAUGCUGGCGUAAUGGUCAUCAGUGACCCGUCUUGAAACAACGGACCA